AGCUGGGCAGUUUGCGUUUGGUCCCAUCCUGCUCCAGUGACGGACUGCUAUUGCUCAUCUGUGGGCUGGAGGAAGGGGGAUCAGGUCAAAGCACAAUCACAAGGUUGAAGAAUUUGCUGGUAAAACCCGCCCCCAGCAGUUUUUCAGAGGGUGUCAGCAAAUUCAUGUCGCAAUAACCAGGUUGAUCCAGGCAGGUUGAGCUCAUAUGACUUGGCUGACAGUCCACCUAGGAGGACAAUGCUGACCACAAAAGCAGGGCCAUGUGCAGAGCAGUGUGCUGGACUGACCAACUCAUCAGGCUUUGAGGCUCCACAUGAGUCCUGCCAAUAAGCAGAAAUCUUGGAGGCAGCUCAAUGUCUCCACUACAAAGGACCCUGUCACCAGAGAUGUGCUAAGUGACGUCAUCACCGAGUCCCUUCUUGCAGAGUCAAACUGCAAGCCAGCCCAGACCUGCCGCCCUCAUGAAGGAAUGGCAGAUUUUUGAUUUUGGAAGGCGUCCAAAAUAUUUUUAUCGGCGCGCCGCGAUCCGCUUCAAUGCGCCGCACAGUGCUGCACGGCGCCGCACUCCAGCCUCCUGAGACCCGCUGAUGCGCGGCACCAUGUGGCACUGGUGGGAAACAUGCAUAACAAUGGUGUCACGGCAGACCGUACUUCAUAAACACACUAUCUAAACAUGCAAUCAACUCAGCGUCCCGCAGCAUGCUGAUGUUUUUUAGUUUUUUUUGCAGAUCAUUCUUAUUUUGAAAAAACAUGGAAAAAGCUUGAUCGUAAAUUUGGAUCGACUAGAAAAAGCAUAGUGUUUGCCAUUUAGUGUGAUUUUGAUGUCUGAUUUUCUGAAAUGCAUUUUUUCACUCUUAAAACAAGUUAUCUUACCUCUGAAAAAAAGUCUUUCUCAAUAACUGAAAAAAAACUUGUUACAAAUGUGUGGAAUAAAAAUCAAGAAAGCAGUGUGCGUUACAUAAAACGGCCGUUAAUAAGCUUGGGAUUUUCCCUUGAGCACACGCUUGUUGGGAUUUCUCAUAGUCAGCUCCCGAACAAUGCCUAAGGAAAACACUACUACAUACGGGGUACACGAUGCACAGCCACCGUGUUGGCAGAGUUGCAACACUAAUGUCAACUUGAUUCUAACUAUCCAGCACAUCAUGAUUGAUCGUACAUGUACAAGCAAGGAUUGGGAAGAGAAUAGCCUAGACAGCUUUUGGCUUCCCUUCACUGCUUUCCCUCACCACAGAUGACUUGGAUUCUGUCAAAUACCAUCCUCGGAUACUGGAGGCUGCGUGUGUAUGCGUACAUCCUGUACUACAUGUGCAGUACAUGUAAUGUUAGGCAACUUUCAUGUCGGUAAUUGGCCGCAUGCACUCGGUGAGUAGGCCGAGUAAGGCGACCAUUAUGAACUAUUUUAUUCGUUUGCUCAAAGUGGCUGCAUGAUUUCGCAGGUGACUUUCAGCUGGUUUUAGUGGGUUAAUUUGUCCAUUCCUUUAGACCCCCAAUCAAUUGAAAUGUAGGAUAUAGCAUUGGAUGGAUAAGGUAGUUGAUUUUCUUUGUACAUCAUCGAGGCACUCCUGAGAGUAUGAGAAAGGUAGGGGUCUCACUGACUGAGUACAUGUAUAUUUGAAAAUUUGAUGACAUAAAAUGAUGAAUAUUUAUGCUAGCACAGUAGCAGCAAUGAUACGUAUGUUUCAGAGGGAAAUUAUUAACAGUGCAUGUCCCAUUUUUAGGAUCACUUGCAUAAGUGAUGAGAGCCACGAGAAUAUGUGCCAGGCAAGCAGCUGCUUCAUUUCAUGAAAUUUACGUCGCAUUUUCACCUUUUGGAAAUAAAAAUCCC
Acanthaster planci (crown-of-thorns starfish) is the source of this 1825-nucleotide long non-coding RNA. NCBI's taxonomy places the organism in Eukaryota, Metazoa, Echinodermata, Asteroidea, Valvatida, Acanthasteridae. The record is from RefSeq and is a predicted model, not a curated record.